This 78-nucleotide transfer RNA is filed under the name Thermoprotei archaeon. RNAcentral's name for it is "tRNA-Glu". It matches the Rfam family "tRNA". From Rfam's summary of the family: Transfer RNA (tRNA) molecules are approximately 80 nucleotides in length. Their secondary structure includes four short double-helical elements and three loops (D, anti-codon, and T loops). Lineage: Archaea; Thermoproteati; Thermoproteota; Thermoprotei. RNAcentral also lists the same sequence under 1 other name. The record is from RNAcentral.
GCCGCGGUAGUAUAGCCCGGCCAAGUAUGCGGGCCUUUCGAGCCCGUGACCCGGGUUCGAAUCCCGGCCGCGGCACCA